GUGUAGACUCUGGAAAAACUGAAGGCUAAAAGGCCCACUUGAAGCGUCAUGUCCACCAUUGAUUCAUUCAGAGCUCAAGUCCCACGCUGAAAACACAACCGCGAUCACCCUCGUCACAAGUUAUACCUGCCCACUCACAACAAUACGAGGUGAGGAGAAAACACAACAAAGAAAAAAAGGAAUUCAAGCUGACUUAGGAAACACAUGUGGUGGCGAAGUUUCCUUGUUAAGCAAGGAAAAUAAUUCAACAACUUAAUUGUGUUUCCUACUCUUGAAAGGAUACCAAGAGGUGACAAAAGAGAGCGCUAAAGGCAACAUCCUUUUCCUUCCAAAAAAAAGAUAAAUACAAGGCUGAGAUUAAAAUCCUAUUUUAACUUGGAAACCAAAGGGGCAACAACUUCUGUUUUAGUUCCUAGGAUUAUUGGGUAGCAUUAUAGGCUAUAAAUAAGUCUUGUAUUAAACUUGCAAUGUUUUAUUUCUUCUCAUGGCAAAAUAAGACUUGAACUUAUGGGCUUUAUUUUUAUUUUGUUAGCUAUAGCUCAAGGCUUGUUUGGGCUUAAUUAAUACUUUAUUUUUAACUAAGACAUAAGGCUUGUUUGAA
Long non-coding RNA from Populus trichocarpa (black cottonwood), 601 nucleotides. RefSeq lists it as uncharacterized. The record is from RefSeq and is a predicted model, not a curated record. Lineage: Eukaryota; Viridiplantae; Streptophyta; Magnoliopsida; Malpighiales; Salicaceae. The transcript is spliced from 2 exons.